This 833-nucleotide small RNA is filed under the name Pan troglodytes (chimpanzee). RNAcentral's name for it is "retained intron". Lineage: Eukaryota; Metazoa; Chordata; Mammalia; Primates; Hominidae. The record is from RNAcentral.
GUGUUGCUUUACGGUCUCAAGGUGGCUCUUAACUCUCAGGGAGGCUGAGAAAGCAGGCAUUUUGUUUUACUGGCCUCUCUAUUGGAGACGGCUGGGGUAUGGCCGUCAAUGUGUACUCCACAUCUGUGACCAGUGAAAAUCUGAGUCGCCAUGAUAUGCUUGCAUGGGUCAACGACUCCCUGCACCUCAACUAUACCAAGAUAGAACAGCUUUGUUCAGGGGCAGCCUACUGCCAGUUCAUGGACAUGCUCUUCCCCGGCUGUGUGCACUUGAGGAAAGUGAAGUUCCAGGCCAAACUAGAGCAUGAAUACAUCCACAACUUCAAGGUGCUGCAAGCAGCUUUCAAGAAGAUGGGUGUUGACAAAGUAGGUGCCUGCGCUCCGGGGGGCCCUGAGGAGCAGUGUGACCCUGGGGAAGAAGAGGACCCACCAGCCCAGGCAACUGGGGCUGCUGGGGUCAUUCCGGUGCUCGUGCCUCCCUCCACCUCCCGACUCUCCAGAGGGAAUUCUCCCCCUGCUCAAGGCACAAUGGAAAAGCCCACAACACUUGCCAUGCCAUCAUGACAACAUUCCUUUCCCUUCCUCCUCUCUGGACCCUGCCCACCCCAACACUGAGCUCUGUGCACCGCUCCUGUGAAGUUCCACCUCUCUCUGUCUCUGUAGGGCCCAAGAAAAUGUCUCUGCUCACUCUACUGCCUCGGUGGCUGCAGACCCCCAGCCCACACGCAGGCAGUAGAGCCAAGGGACGCCUCCCCACACAGUUCUUCCACACGGUGCCUGUAGAGAAGGGAUGCCUCUGGAUCUGACACUAGGGCCUACCAGCCUACCUGUCUG